CGCGUAGGCGGCAUGACAAGUCACUUGUGAAAUCUCCGGGCUUAACUCGGAACGGCCAAGUGAUACUGUCGCGCUAGAGUGCGGAAGGGGCAAUCAGAAUUCUUGGUGUAGCGGUGAAAUGCGUAGAUAUCAAGAGGAAUACCUGAGGUGAAGACGGGUUGCUAGGCCGACACUGACGCUGAGUGCGCGAAAGCCAGGGGAGCAAACG
This 208-nucleotide ribosomal RNA is filed under the name uncultured bacterium. Its description in RNAcentral is "partial 16S ribosomal RNA". It matches the Rfam family "Bacterial small subunit ribosomal RNA", at positions 568 to 774 of the family's 1533-position model. The record is from RNAcentral.